AACGGAGUCAUUAAUAAGGCACUCAAAAUUUCCUGUACACCCUGGAGGGUGUCAGUCUGAGACUUGUGUCCACCACACUGCCCAUCUGUGAGUCUGUUUCUGCAGCUCUCUCCUCCAGAGGCAGGUCCAGCUUCCUUGAAGAGCAGAGUCUAACAGUUGGUUAUGUGAGCCUUGGCUUGGACUCCUGGAAAGAGUAUUAAAGAACUAUUAAAACCCUGAGGACUCUAUGAGAUGAACUAAAUGCAUAAUGGAGGCCAUCGCCUUUGGGAAGUUAGGGACAGAGUGCUGUGGUUUGGAUGAAGCAUCUUUCAACACAGACUCAUAUGUUGAAGAUUUAUUCCCCAGAUUGUGGUGGAGCUAUUGCAGGUGAUUGGAUAAUGAUGACACUAAUCCCACCAAUGAGUCAAUUCACCGAUGAACUCAUAUAAUUCAUAGGUGCCACCAAUCUGCUGAUUGUCUGUGAGACACCUUCUCCCAGGCUACAAUAAGACUUUCAACUUGGAGGCUAGGGGCACAUCAACACCUGAAAUCCAACUGCUUUCUCCAAAGCCCAACACCUCUCCCAUCUUGCCCAUCCUGUGGCCUGUGCAUCAGACAACAUGAAUUUGAUCCACCAUAGGUCAGACACCUGUCCUUUGAGUUAAAUUCAAGUGGUAUGUUAUCAGUUUCUGCACCUAACUCUGAAGUCAUUGCCCUGGUAGAGCCUCAAUUAUUUGGUCCGAGCUGAAUAUUAGGAAGC
This is a non-coding RNA of Myodes glareolus (Bank vole), 739 nucleotides long. The record is from RefSeq and is a predicted model, not a curated record. Lineage: Eukaryota; Metazoa; Chordata; Mammalia; Rodentia; Cricetidae.